UACGUAGGGUGCAAGCGUUGUCCGGAAUUAUUGGGCGUAAAGAGCUCGUAGGCGGUUUGUCGCGUCGAAUGUGAAAACCCGGGGCUCAACCCCGGGCCUGCAUUCGAUACGGGCAGACUAGAGGCAGGUAGGGGAGAAUGGAAUUCCCGGUGUAGCGGUGAAAUGCGCAGAUAUCGGGAGGAACACCGGUGGCGAAGGCGGUUCUCUGGGCCUGACCUGACGCUGAGGAGCGAAAGCGUGGGGAGCGAACAGG
Molecule: ribosomal RNA, 253 nt
Filed under: uncultured bacterium
Lineage: Bacteria
Description: partial 16S ribosomal RNA
Rfam family: Bacterial small subunit ribosomal RNA
Source: RNAcentral